AGUGAACGCUGGCGGCAGGCCUAACACAUGCAAGUCGAGCGGAUGAACGGAGCGUGCUCCUGGAUUCAGCUGGGGACGGGCGGGUGAUUCACAGGUAUCUGCCUUGCCGCUGGGGCUAAGGUCAGGACACGGGCGCUCAUACCGUAUACGACCAGAGGUUGAACGGGGGGGAUCAUCGGAGCUCCCGCUAUUAGAUGAGCCUAGGACGGAUUAGCUAGUUGGUGGGGUAAAGGCCUACCAAGGCGACGAUCCGUAGCUGGUCUGAGAGGGUGAUCAGCCACACUGGAACUGAGACACGGUCCAGACUCCUACGGGAGGCAGCAGUGGGGAAUAUUGGACAAUGGGCGAAAGCCUGAUCCAGCCAUGCCGCGUGUGUGAAGAAGGUCUUCGGAUUGUAAAGCUCUUUUAUUAGGGAAGAACAGCAGUAAGUUAAUCCCUGGCUGUUUUGACGGUACCAAAAGAAUAAGCACCGGCUAACUUCGUG
This 484-nucleotide ribosomal RNA is filed under the name uncultured bacterium. RNAcentral describes it as "partial 16S ribosomal RNA". It matches the Rfam family "Bacterial small subunit ribosomal RNA", at positions 29 to 507 of the family's 1533-position model. The record is from RNAcentral.